UUGAUUUUGUCAAAGAAAAUGCCGUUACAGAGGCUUAAAGGGAGGAACCAUUUAUGUUCUUUCCUUGUGAAGUGUUAACAAGGCUUAAACCUUGUACCUUUGUUUGUGUUGUUCUCUUGUUAAAACAAAAAAUAAAUGAUGGGAGAAGGAAGAACACAAAACAGCAAAUCAUGGGAGGAAGAGAUUUAUUGGUCCCAUUUUCAAUUCAUCCAUUUUACCAUUUUUCUUCAAAGCACCACCGAUUUUCAACAACAACUUGCCCUUCCUAAAAUAUUCUCGGACAAUUUAAAGAAGAAGUUGCCAGAAAAUGUGACACUUAAAGGUCCUAGUGGAGUUGUGUGGAAUAUAGGGCUGAAUACUAGAGGUGAAUCUGUUUAUUUCGUGGACGGUUGGCGACGUUUCGUGAAAGAUCACUCUUUGAAAGAGAAUGAUUUCCUUGUCUUUAAGUACAACGGUGAAUCACUCUUUGAGGUUUUAAUCUUUAAUGGAGAAAGCUUCUGUGAAAAAGCAGCUUCUUAUUUUGUUCUAGAAUGUGGACAAGCUCAUGCUGAACAAGGGGGUAACAAAGGAAAGAAUUCAAACAAAUCUGUUGAAGAAGUCAAUACUACUAACGGCAGUGUUGAAUGUGCUUCACCUGAGAAAUUUCGGAGUCUUGACAGUAUAAGAACACCUUUAGCUCUAACUUUUGAAACUACUAAUGGAAAAACUUUUAAUGCUGGUUUUAAAUCUGCUUCCCCUGAGAAGCCUGUUAUAGAAGUUACACCUGUCCAGACUAAGAAGCGAGCAAGAACACCGAAAGAAGCUAAUUCUUGGGAGAGCGCGUGUAACAAGGAACACUCAGAGGCAGCACUGUCAAAGUUAUCAAGAAAAUUAUCAAGAAAUGAUGAGGAAAAGAUAGUACAAUCAUUUUCUUCCUCUGUUCCAUAUUUUGUUAAAAUAAUCAAAACGUUUCAUGUCAGUGGUUCAUGUGUUAUGAAUAUACCCCGUCAAUUUUCUAUGGAACAUCUUAAAAAAGGCAGGAUAAAGAUUAUUCUUCAUAAUAUGAAGGGAGAAUGUUGGAUUGUCAAUUCUGUUCCUACAGCUAAAGUGCCAAAAAGUCACACUCUAUGUGCAGGAUGGAUGUCUUUUGUUCAUGCCAAUAACAUUAAAAUUGGAGAUGUCUGCAUUUUCGAACUUAUAAAUGACUGUGAAUUACGUGUUCGCAUCGCUGGGGUUGGAAAAGAAGGGCUAGACUGCCAGGUUGGAAAGGAAGGUCUUGACCAUCAAAAUGAGCAUAUGAAACUUAAUAGCAUCUAGCUAGUUACUGUUGCAUCCAUAUACAUGCUAAAGUUUGGCUUGUGAGACAGCUGAAUCAAUUUUGUGGGUGGAGUGCAACCAAAACACACAGGACUAGCAUAAAAAUGAGAUGCUCUAGCAAGCUCAUGAGCAACAUUGUUGGCUUAUCGUCAAACAUAACUGACCCUGCAAUUGUUACAGUAACAUGAGUUCCCUAUACUUAUAAUGUUACUAAGUUCAUUUUUAGGAUAUGUGGGAUUUGCUAUCUUGUUGGUCACCAUGAACUUAACCAUUUCAAUGGCACCAUGAGUAGCCAUGUUUCUGCUUCAGUCGUUGCAUGUGCACCUUGUUGCCAUCGAGAAAAUGUCUGGAUAACCAUGCCAUUUUCGUCCCUUAGACAUAAGCCACAUCCGUAUGGAUUAUCUGAUUGAAACAUAGUUGUGUUGCAUCAAUGUUGCACUUCAACGUUCCUGUACAGGGCUUCAACCAAUGUAGAGUUCUUAACACU
RNA transcript from Medicago truncatula (barrel medic), 1783 nucleotides. It is a transcript of the gene named B3 domain-containing protein REM16, with no coding region annotated. NCBI's taxonomy places the organism in Eukaryota, Viridiplantae, Streptophyta, Magnoliopsida, Fabales, Fabaceae. The transcript is spliced from 5 exons. The record is from RefSeq and is a predicted model, not a curated record.